UGCCAGCCGCCGCGGUAACACGUAAGGAGCGAGCGUUGUUCGGAUUUACUGGGCGUAAAGGGUGCGUAGGCGGGCCGAUAAGUCGGAUGUGAAAUCUCACAGCUUAACUGUGAGUCGCCAUUCGAAACUGUCGGUCUUGAGUGCAGGAGAGGAAAGUGGAAUUCCUGGUGUAGCGGUGAAAUGCGUAGAUAUCAGGAGGAACACCGGUGGCGAAGGCGGCUUUCUGGACCGAUACUGACGCUGAGACGCGAAAGCGUGGGGAGCAAACAGGAUUAGAUA
RNAcentral lists this ribosomal RNA (279 nucleotides) under uncultured bacterium. RNAcentral describes it as "partial 16S ribosomal RNA". It matches the Rfam family "Bacterial small subunit ribosomal RNA", at positions 506 to 784 of the family's 1533-position model. The record is from RNAcentral.